GCAUUAAGUGAUGAUGAUUUAAUUCUGCAUAUACUCUUUGGCUUAGUCCAGAUUAUAACUCUGUUGCUACCUACAUUACUGGACAAGUAAGAGUGGGGAAAAUGAAUGUAAACGAAGCUUAUGCUAUGCUCCUAAC
This is a small nucleolar RNA of 136 nucleotides. It matches the Rfam family "Small nucleolar RNA Z247". From Rfam's summary of the family: Z247 is a member of the C/D class of snoRNA which contain the C (UGAUGA) and D (CUGA) box motifs. The record is from Rfam.